Molecule: ribosomal RNA, 656 nt
Filed under: uncultured bacterium
Lineage: Bacteria
Description: bacterial SSU rRNA
Rfam family: Bacterial small subunit ribosomal RNA
Source: RNAcentral
CGAAGUGGCGAACGGGUGAGUAACACGUGAGUAACUGCCCUUAACUCUGGGAUAAGCCUGGGAAACUGGGUCUAAUACCGGAUAGUUUUGGAUGGACUCGCGGCCUAUCAGCUUGUUGGUGAGGUAAUGGCUCACCAAGGCGACGACGGGUAGCCGGCCUGAGAGGGGACCGGCCACACUGGGCUGAGACACGGCCCAGACUCCUACGGGAGGCAGCAGUGGGGAAUAUUGCACAAUGGGCGCAAGCCUGAUGCAGCGACGCCGCGUGAGGGAUGACGGCCUUCGGGUUGUAAACCUCUUUCAGUAGGGAAGCGGUACCUGCAGAAGAAGCACCGGCUAACUACGUGCCAGCAGCCGCGGUAAUACGUAGGGUGCGAGCGUUAUCCGGAAUUAUUGGGCGUAAAGAGCUCGUAGGCGGUUUGUCGCGUCUGUCGUGAAAGUCCGGGGCUUAACCCCGGAUCUGCGGUGGGUACGGGCAGACUAGAGUGCAGUAGGGGAGACUGGAAUUCCUGGUGUAGCGGUGGAAUGCGCAGAUAUCAGGAGGAACACCGAUGGCGAAAGCAGGUCUCUGGGCUGUAACUGACGCUGAGGAGCGAAAGAUGGGGAGCGAACAGGAUUAGAUACCCUGGUAGUCCAUGCCGUAAACGUUGGGCACU